CAACCACUGACUGAACAAUACAAAUCGAAAACAAAUAAAUCGUAAAAUCAGUGUUAUCACCAGAUUUCGCCGAUAAGAUUUCUUUCGGUACCAACAAUGAAUUAAUGUUUAAAUAAAUUAUUAAAAUUCGUCAGGGUGAUACGAUCUAUCCAUCCGUUCGUAUUAUAAUGGGCGAUGAAUGCGAGAUGGGUACUAAAUGGCAUACGUGGAAAUGAGGAUUAGGUUAUAGAAAAAAUAAUCAAGAGUCAAGAUGUAGCUUAUGAAGUAUUUCUGCUAGUGACUCUCUUAUCCUGCUGACUAUCUGGAAUACUUCAGCUUCGCGGUCUCUCUGUACUUACAAUAUUAAUGAUGGAGAGCGGCGCGAGGAAGUCGAGGCUGCCCACCAGCGUGAGCGUCGUCAGCCAGUGCACCAAGUACGCCGUCAGGGACAUGCGCCCCAAUAUCUCCCAGCCGCGCCACGACAAAAACUUCCAGUACAGACCUUAAACAUUAGACUGCGUCAGGAGCUGUGCGGGGGACGCAGCGGCCACCCGCACAGCUCGCUAGCAGUGUGUUAGAAGACGAUGAUAUUGACGUUGAAAACCGUUCAUCUUGCUUCUUAUGGGUUCUAAUAAUCAUGAAUACCACUCUACUAAUUAAUAUUACGGGUAUUUUAAGCCUGUACAGCCGUUCCUUCGGUUCCCAUUGGCACGUUUUUGGAGCAAGACUUUUCUUAUUCAGAAUUCAAAGUCAUCCUGCUUUCUCCUCGACCUUCCGCAACGCAGGUGCUUGUGGUGAUACAUAGAAAACUCGAUAAAAAUCGGACCAAGGUGACGGAAGCUUCUCAUACACAAUUAACCUCAUUUCCUCCCAAGACUUAUGAGUACUACGUCGUUUACGUUUGCGAGAUUAACAAUGAAAUAAAGUUCAUGAAAAGGCAA
Molecule: long non-coding RNA, 920 nt
Organism: Bombyx mori (domestic silkworm)
Lineage: Eukaryota; Metazoa; Arthropoda; Insecta; Lepidoptera; Bombycidae
Exons: 2
Source: RefSeq, a predicted model, not a curated record